RNAcentral lists this ribosomal RNA (425 nucleotides) under uncultured bacterium. Its description in RNAcentral is "partial 16S ribosomal RNA". It matches the Rfam family "Bacterial small subunit ribosomal RNA", at positions 354 to 796 of the family's 1533-position model. The record is from RNAcentral.
GUGGGGAAUAUUGGACAAUGGGCGCAAGCCUGAUCCAGCAAUGCCGCGUGAGUGAUGAAGGCCUUAGGGUUGUAAAGCUCUUUUACCCGGGAUGAUAAUGACAGUACCGGGAGAAUAAGCUCCGGCUAACUCCGUGCCAGCAGCCGCGGUAAUACGGAGGGAGCUAGCGUUGUUCGGAAUUACUGGGCGUAAAGCGCGCGUAGGCGGCUAUUCAAGUCAGGGGUGAAAGCCCGGGGCUCAACCCCGGAACUGCCUUUGAAACUAGGUAGCUAGAAUCUUGGAGAGGCGAGUGGAAUUCCGAGUGUAGAGGUGAAAUUCGUAGAUAUUCGGAAGAACACCAGUGGCGAAGGCGACUUUCUGGACGAUGUCUGACGCUGAGGCGCGAAAGCUAGGGGAGCGAACGGGAUUAGAUACCCCGGUAGUCC